This is a long non-coding RNA of Mesocricetus auratus (golden hamster), 3711 nucleotides long. RefSeq lists it as uncharacterized. The transcript has 8 exons. Lineage: Eukaryota; Metazoa; Chordata; Mammalia; Rodentia; Cricetidae. The record is from RefSeq and is a predicted model, not a curated record.
AUGCCGGAGAUAUGAACAAUCCCUCUGUGAUUGGCCCACUCAAAUGUGAACAUGCCCAGCGGGAAAAUGAGUUCGGCUUGUUAAUCAUUUUUGGAAUUUUUUUUUGUUGGUGACAUUGUUAAUGAGGUUGUACUGUUUCUCUACUCGUGCCUCUCAGAGAUACCUAGUCAGGGUCUGAUGAGGCUGUAAGAUGAAUCCAUUUCCUUCUUUUUCCCCCCUACUGCUAACCCAGGGCAAGGAGGCUCUUUGUCACGUUUUGGUGUCAUCCCCAUUUCUUCAGGCCACUCUCAGGAGUGCAGCAGCUUUCAGGCCACCUUGGCUUUUUGGGAUGGAUUUCUAAGACCAGGAGGCUUGGGGAAUGAACUCACAUUAUGUCCAAAUAGCUGGAUCUAGUCCUGAUUAUCAAUACACUACAGUUAUUUGUGUGUGUGUGUGUGUGUAUGUGUGUGUGUGCGUGCGCGCGCGUGUGCUAUGCAAAGCAAUAAAAAUGAUUUCAAACACUCUUUUAAUUGGCUUUGUUCACAUAAUUAUUAAAUUAAGACUGCCACGAGUGUUUCUUCAUCUGGAAUGAUAAUUUCAAAGCUGGCAUUUUACAAGCAAUUUCAGAAGAGUGGAGUUUUUAAACUCAAUUUUGUUAAAUGGAUUACUUUUUUUUUCUUACUGUAGGAUAUAGUGAAACUGAACUGAAUAAAUAAAGUCAAAAUGAACUCAUAAGAUGUGCAAACUGUUGGAUAUCUUAGGAGGAUUGAGUUGAAUUUUAAAGAUAGGCUGAGGGAGUUCAUACAUUCCCAGGCACCAACUGUAACACUAGCCAGUGGUUAGAAAAAUAGUAUUGACAUUUCAAGGAUCUUCACUCACACUUCAGUAUGCCCCUGAGCACUGUUGGAACGAAACUCUUCUUUCUUUUAUAAGUUAAUGGUCCUCGAAAGUAGGUCUGAUGAUGCAAAUGCUGCAUGGAUUUUUAAUUCCAAGAAAGGCUUCUUUCCCACGCACCAAGAGCAAUCAGACACAGAUCCCAAACAACAUGAAACAUCAAGUUUGUCUGUUUGGAUGUUUAUUGCGGCAUUUCAAAAGUACUACAGAAUGUAGAGUUCUAUAGUUUAGUUUAUAUCGUAAUAUUUCCUCCGUUGAUAGCACAAUAAUUAUAAAAACAAAUAGUUUAAAUUUAUAGACAAGAAAAAAAACUAUGGUCAAUUUAAAUGCCCAUUUAACAGGAGCCUACCUCUGACGAAAGUUAAUGAGGUGAGCAAGGUCUGUCUUCCAUUAUCGCUGAUAUGAGCAGAGUUUUGACCUCCAAGGUCCCCAGAAACCUGAGAUAAAACGGUGUUCUUCGAGUAUGCAAGAUAAAAGAGAACAGUUUAUGUUUCCCAAUUCAUCUUCUGUGACCUGUCGGAAGUGGUCAACUCAGGAUUAUUAAGGACUCAUUUUAAUCUUGAUUUCAAUGUCUUCUCCCAGAUGCCUCUGCCGCAGAAAGCAGAAGUAGCAAAGAUUCCUGAUAGGAUUUGCAAUUUGAAUCUCAUUCCCUCUCUCUUCACAUCCAGAUUAAGGACUAAAUCUAGAGGUCCUUGGAAUUACUGCUCAACACUUUGCCUCUCCCAGUGUCCUUUUGACAUGAAAAGAAAUGGAAUUGAACACCAACUAGCAGACCGCUGCUCUCCAGGCUUAGGUUGACUCAACAAUCCCAGGCUUCUGCUUGGAAAUCAGUUGUUUGUAACAUCGAGCCCACUGCGUGUGAUUUCAUUAAGGAUAACGUUUCCUAUUUUUAUCUCUAGACGUCUAUGCGGCUCUCCUUUUGGCAACACCCAAAAUGCUGGCGUCUUUGUUGAAGGCCUGCGUAAUUAGUGUUGCUGACUGCAGCAGUGUCGACAGCUCUACGGUCACUGGGACCCUCCUUUGAAAGACCUCCAGGUAGUCCUUGGCAAUCCGGCACAGAGGCCUGGAAGCUUUGUCCUUUUUCUCCAAGGAAGAUUCUGCAGCAAGGUGUUUGCAUUUAUGUUCUAGCUUGUGCAAAAGGCCAGGGAAUCGGCCCCUUCACUGUGCUUCCCCACGUCUGUUCUGGAGACGACCCAGGUGCUAUGUGUUUACUCUAAAGCAGAACACCACCCGGAGGCCCCCUUUAGUCAGAGAUCUCCCACCUGGAGCAGCUCCUUCAGGCCGUACUACAGCCCUGGCAUUGCACACUGAAGACGGCCCUUACAGUCUUGAAGCUCGGGUUGAGGAUCUGUCUCUCGGCGUCCUGGCACCUGCUGCCUCUGUACUGGCUAUUUGCUGCCGGCGAUGAGCUCCUAUCCCACUGUGGGCCUAAACAAACGCUUUCAUUCCGUGGUUUGCUUUGGUUGUGGCAUUUUUGUCACAGCCGCAGAGAAGUAUCUGAGAGGGAAUAUGAGCUCCCCACACCAAAGUCCUGCAGGGACACGGUAGAGGAAUGACGCCGGCCCACUAAGCCUCCUGGAUACUUCUCUUCUCAUCAACAAAGGCAAGGAAGAAACGCUGUCAUAGGCUGCUGCUACUGUUAAAUGUGUGGCUGGAUGAAGUGCCUACUGUGGUGCGUAGCCUGUGGCAAAUAUUUGGGAAUAUGCUGAUGCCAUUGCCAGCUGUGGAGGAGAACACUCAGAGUGAGAUGCCAUGGCCAACUCUAAUCUAUUCAUCACCGGAACACUCAACAGGUCAAGAAUGAUUCUUUUCCUCAACUGCAAGUAGUACUGGACAUUAUUUCUUGGCUACGGAUUAUUUAUAAUACAUCCUGACCCAUGGAAAAGAAGUACUAAUUAAAGUUGUGCCAGCGUGAGUCUGUAGCCAGCCAGGCUGAAUAUGACCCUGCUCAUCGCAGAAAUGGGAAGAAGCUAGAAGUCUCACACCAUGGGGAUUUCCUUUACGAAACAGUAUGGCCUGGUUUCAAACGCAGGUUGUGAAGCUUUGGGACAAGUGCGUUCGUUCCUGGAACCAUCUCCCUGAACCUUGUGUGCUGGAUUUUAGCAUUCACUAUGAAGUAUUAACUGACUAGAAACUUGUCCUGGCUGUGUUAUAUGGAGCCGAGACCUUGUGAAUUAGUUACAUUGGUGCAAAGUCAGCAGCUUUACUGUCAAAGGGAGAGAGACACACAUUUGUGCUGUGUACCAUCCUUGCCAUCUGAGGCUCCAUCCCAUCUGGGGACCAAGAAAGCCAUUCAUUGCCAGAAGUGGAUCCUUGCCCUUAGCCCUCCAGAACUGUUAGCCAACACCAACUCUCUAUAUAGUGCCUCAGGUAAAUUGACUGGGUCUUAUUGAAACAAAGCCAUUCUAGCCACAAAAAGAGUCUAAAGAACAAGGAGCCAAUGACUAUGAAUGGGAUCCACAGCUGCCUCUGUCAAUCAAGGUUUGUCUUUAUGAUGGGCAACUGAGGAGGAGCCUCAGAAAACCAAGAUGGCCUCAUACCUGCUCUGACAGAGCAACAGGAACAGCACAUUUGAUCCCAGCCUCGUGGACAUAAGGCAGUUUCAGAGGAUGGUGAAAAUUAACCACCUUAGAAGCAGGAAUCAUCUCCCUUUGAUCUUCUUAAAUGUUGUUGUGCACAGAGAAGCUUUCCUCUUUGACACCAUACAUUCCAAGACUGCACUGGAAGAUUCUUGGGGAGCUGCUGUCUGUUGUUAAGACCCUCCUCUUAGCAAUGCUGACUGUCUGUACAUCCUCACAUAGCAGUGGACUCCUCAUCAAAUAACAUUGGACAUCCAUG